This 342-nucleotide ribosomal RNA is filed under the name Bolitophila tenella. Its description in RNAcentral is "partial 16S ribosomal RNA". The record is from RNAcentral. Lineage: Eukaryota; Metazoa; Arthropoda; Insecta; Diptera; Mycetophilidae.
UUUUUUAAUUGAAAACUCGUAUGAAUGGUUGAACGAAAUAUUAACUGUCUCAUAAAAAUUUUAAUUGAACUUUACUUUUUAGUUAAAAGGCUAAAAUAUAAUUAAAGGACGAGAAGACCCUAUAGAGUUUUAUAAUUUAAUAAUUAUAAUUUAUAAAGAAUAAUUAAAAUUUUAUUUAUUAAUAUUAUUUUGUUGGGGUGACAAUAAAAUUUAAUAAACUUUUAUUAUUUUUUUACAUUAAUUUAUGAAUUAUUGAUCCAGUUUUAUUGAUUAAAAAUUUAAAUUACCUUAGGGAUAACAGCGUAAUUUUUUUCUAGAGUUCAUAUCGAUAAAAAAGAUUGC